CAAAUGAAUUGACGGGGCCCGCACAAGCGGUGGAGCAUGUGGUUAAUUCGAAGCAACGCGAAGAACCUUACCAGGUCUUGACAUCCCCUGACAACCCGAGAGAUCGGGCGUUCCCCUUCGGGGGACAGGGUGACAGGUGGUGCAUGGUUGUCGUCAGCUCGUGUCGUGAGAUGUUGGGUUAAGUCCCGCAACGAGCGCAACCCCUAUCUUUAGUUGCCAUCAUUGAGUUGGGCACUCUAAAGAGACUGCCGGCGUCAAACCGGAGGAAGGUGGGAUGACGUCAAGUCCUCAUGGCCUUUAUGCUUAGGGCUACACACGUGCUAUAAUGGGUGGUACAAAGAGAAGCCAACUCGCGAGAGCGCGCCAAUCUCAAAAAGCCAUCCUCAGUUCGGAUUGGAGUCUGCAACUCGACUCCAUGAAGUUGGAAUCGCUAGUAAUCGCGGAUCAGCAUGCCGCGGUCGAAUACGUUCCCGGGCCUU
This 479-nucleotide ribosomal RNA is filed under the name uncultured Smithella sp. RNAcentral describes it as "bacterial SSU rRNA". It matches the Rfam family "Bacterial small subunit ribosomal RNA", at positions 902 to 1382 of the family's 1533-position model. Lineage: Bacteria; Pseudomonadati; Thermodesulfobacteriota; Syntrophia; Syntrophales; Smithellaceae. The record is from RNAcentral.